This 255-nucleotide ribosomal RNA is filed under the name uncultured bacterium. RNAcentral describes it as "partial 16S ribosomal RNA". It matches the Rfam family "Bacterial small subunit ribosomal RNA", at positions 524 to 776 of the family's 1533-position model. The record is from RNAcentral.
UACGUAGGGUGCAAGCGUUAAUCGGAAUUACUGGGCGUAAAGCGUGCGCAGGCGGUUAUGUAAGACAGUUGUGAAAUCCCCGGGCUCAACCUGGGAACUGCAUCUGUGACUGCAUAGCUAGAGUACGGUAGAGGGGGAUGGAAUUCCGCGUGUAGCAGUGAAAUGCGUAGAUAUGCGGAGGAACACCGAUGGCGAAGGCAAUCCCCCUGGACCUGUACUGACGCUCAUGCACGAAAGCGUGGGGGAGCAAACAGG